RNAcentral lists this long non-coding RNA (341 nucleotides) under Phoenix dactylifera (date palm). Its description in RNAcentral is "long non-coding RNA (PDAC_LNC018455)". The record is from RNAcentral. Lineage: Eukaryota; Viridiplantae; Streptophyta; Magnoliopsida; Arecales; Arecaceae.
AAAAAAUACCAUAUCUGAUCUGAAAGACUUACCAGAACUUCUUUCUGUCUAGACAAGUUAGAUAACUCAUGCCAUUUGUGCUACCCUGACUAUCUAUCAGGAGGAACCAAUAAUACCCCCCCAUUCUAUCAGCCACUUGCAAUACUGCAAGAUUCAUGCUAAUCUGAGAAAUUGUACUUUCUUUUUGGGUGCGGAGAAAUUACUGUUUGUUAGCAAGCUUGGUAAUGUUGGUCUUCCAGUUUGUUCUCGCCAUCUUAUUUUGUUCAGAAAUUCAUUCAAGCAAGAGGAUUAUGCCAUGAGUAAUUUGAACUGUUUGCACCACUCAUCAACCAAAUAUCAAC